AACGAACGCUGGCGGCAUGCCUAACACAUGCAAGUCGAACGAGACCUUCGGGUCUAGUGGCGCACGGGUGCGUAACGCGUGGGAACCUGCCCUUAGGUUCGGAAUAACUCCCCGAAAGGGGUGCUAAUACCGGAUAAUGUCUUCGGACCAAAGAUUUAUCGCCUUUGGAUGGGCCCGCGUUGGAUUAGCUAGUUGGUAGGGUAAAAGCCUACCAAGGCGACGAUCCAUAGCUGGUCUGAGAGGAUGAUCAGCCACACUGGGACUGAGACACGGCCCAGACUCUUACGGGAGGCAGCAGUGGGGAAUAUUGGAAAAUGGGCGAAAGCAUGAUCCAGCAAUGCCGCGUGAGUGAUGAAGGCCUUAGGGUUGUAAAGCUCUUUUACCCGGGAUGAUAAUGACAGUACCGGGAGAAUAAGCUCCGGCUAACUCCGUG
Molecule: ribosomal RNA, 433 nt
Filed under: uncultured bacterium
Lineage: Bacteria
Description: partial 16S ribosomal RNA
Rfam family: Bacterial small subunit ribosomal RNA
Source: RNAcentral